GGAUAGAUCAAGAGUAACUAAAUAAGGCAACCAGGUACAGAUCUGAGCAGGAAUCGUACCAGAUAGAGCAUUAGAUGAAAGAUCCAAAUUUUGCAGGCUCUUACAGUCCUUUAACGACUCAGGGAAUUGUCCAGACAGGUUCAUGUCCCGCAAUUGCAGGUUGAUAAUCCUAUUUUCUUGAUCAUUCCAGCAAGACACACCGAUGAAGUUGCAGAGGAAUCCAGAUGAUGAGUUGGCGAAGUUCCAGGAGCUGAGCCUCCCUUGCGGAUCACUAAGGGAAGUCCUAACGCCUUGCAGGCAUUUGACAUCAUCUUCGCCAAUUACAGAAGAAACUAAAGAAACCCAUAUAAUACCAGUUGACACCGUGAGUAAAGUAGCAAUCUUUCGAUUAUGAAUUGAACAACCCUUCAUGCUGAACCAAACCCAGAUCUAAAUCUUUAGUAAUUCUUUACUUUUACAAGCAAAUCAAAACCAUGGUGGAUUACACAGAGAGAGAGAGAGAGAGAGAG
RNAcentral lists this unclassified non-coding RNA (509 nucleotides) under Hevea brasiliensis (rubber tree). The record is from RNAcentral. Lineage: Eukaryota; Viridiplantae; Streptophyta; Magnoliopsida; Malpighiales; Euphorbiaceae.